AGAAUUCGAAGCAGCGCACUCCUCCUCCCAUCGCCGCUUCGAUGGAUUGGCAACACUCCUCCUCCCGGUUGCCAAUCGCCUUUAUGACGCCCGCCGGUCCUCCUCCCCCGACGGGCGUCAUUU
This is a small RNA of Sinorhizobium meliloti 1021, 123 nucleotides long. It matches the Rfam family "Alphaproteobacterial ar14". From Rfam's summary of the family: Smr14C2 was renamed NfeR1 (Nodule Formation Efficiency RNA) highly expressed in salt stress and during the symbiotic interaction on legume roots. Lineage: Bacteria; Pseudomonadati; Pseudomonadota; Alphaproteobacteria; Hyphomicrobiales; Rhizobiaceae. The record is from Rfam.